Molecule: signal recognition particle RNA, 324 nt
Filed under: Saimiri boliviensis boliviensis (Bolivian squirrel monkey)
Lineage: Eukaryota; Metazoa; Chordata; Mammalia; Primates; Cebidae
Description: Metazoan signal recognition particle RNA (ENSSBOG00000004975.1)
Rfam family: Metazoan signal recognition particle RNA
About the family: The signal recognition particle (SRP) is a universally conserved ribonucleoprotein. It is involved in the co-translational targeting of proteins to membranes.
Source: RNAcentral
ACUGGGUAUGGUGGCAUAUGCCUGUAGUCCCAGCUACUUGAGGGACUGAGGCAGAAAGAUUGCUUGAACCCAUGAGUUCCUGAGUUGUAGUGUACUAUGCUCGUGAAUGUCUGCAUUAAGUUUAGCAUCAGUAUGGUGACCUCCCAGGAGUGGGGGAACUACCAGGUUGCCUAAAGAAUGAUGAACUGGACAGGUCAUAAACAAAGCAGGUCAAAACUGAUUUGACCAUGCUAUAUAUAUCAGCAAAGGCUGCUCAGUAGUGGGAUCAUGCCUACAAAUAGCCACUGCCCUCCAGUCUGGGCAACAUAGCACGACUCCAUCUCU